GACGAACGCUGGCGGCGUGCUUAACACAUGCAAGUCGAACGGUGAUGCUCCAGCUUGCUGGCGUGGAUCAGUGGCGAACGGGUGAGUAUCACGUGAGCAACCUGCCCCAGACUCUGGGAUAAGCGCUGGAAACGGCGUCUAAUACUGGAUACGAAACUGGCCCGCAUGGGCAUGGUUUGUAAAGUUUUUCGGUUUGGGAUGGGCUCGCGGCCUAUCAGCUUGUUGGUGAGGUAAUGGCUCACCAAGGCGACGACGGGUAGCCGGCCUGAGAGGGCGACCGGCCACACUGGGACUGAGACACGGCCCAGACUCCUACGGGAGGCAGCAGUGGGGAAUAUUGCACAAUGGGCGAAAGCCUGAUGCAGCGACGCCGCGUGAGGGAUGACGGCCUUCGGGUUGUAAACCUCUUUCAGCAGGGAAGAAGCGAAAGUGACGGUACCUGCAGAAGAAGCACCGGCUAACUACGUG
RNAcentral lists this ribosomal RNA (468 nucleotides) under uncultured bacterium. RNAcentral's name for it is "partial 16S ribosomal RNA". It matches the Rfam family "Bacterial small subunit ribosomal RNA", at positions 28 to 507 of the family's 1533-position model. The record is from RNAcentral.